AUACGGAGGGUGCAAGCGUUGUCCGGAUUUAUGGGGUUUAAAGGGUGCGCAGGCGGUGCGUUAAGUCAGUGGUGAAAUCUUCCGGCUCAACCGGGAAACUGCCAUUGAUACUGGCGCACUUGAGCACGGACGAGGUAGGCGGAAUUUAUGGUGUAGCGGUGAAAUGCAUAGAUACCAUAAAGAACACCGAUAGCGAAGGCAGCUUACCAGACCGUAACUGACGCUCAGGCACGAAAGCGUGGGGAGCAAACAGGAUUAGAUACCCUAGUAGUCC
This 274-nucleotide ribosomal RNA is filed under the name uncultured bacterium. RNAcentral's name for it is "partial 16S ribosomal RNA". It matches the Rfam family "Bacterial small subunit ribosomal RNA", at positions 523 to 796 of the family's 1533-position model. The record is from RNAcentral.